Molecule: long non-coding RNA, 1638 nt
Organism: Equus caballus (horse)
Lineage: Eukaryota; Metazoa; Chordata; Mammalia; Perissodactyla; Equidae
Source: Ensembl
CGGCGACUCUGGGAUUCCGACCCUCCGGUCUCUGUCGAUUCUGUCCGCCUCAGGUUACUUGUGAAAGCCCGAAAAAGGGCUCUUUAUGUAAAAUCUUGUGAAUGCGAAAGUUUUGGUUACUCAAGCAGAAGAGCAUUUGGAGAGAAAGUAAGGAAAAGAACUCAGAACUCGGAUUGAGGAGAAAUCGUUUAGGGUCUUGCUUCGUUCCUCGAGAAAUGAGCUAGAGUUCGUACAUGCCAGUGCCUUGCUCCUACGUUGUGCUGCUUAAAGUAAGGACUGUACUGGCCCAGCAGUUGAGCGACGGUUGGUAUCAGCAGAGGUUUGUUUCAUGAACCCUCUAGCAGAAACUCAGAACUAUCACUGCUGCUUUUGAAUACAGAGAGGUGAAAAAUUUUGUGGCUGGGGGCAACCAAGGUUUUGACUGGCCGGGAGAGUGGGUUGCAGAUUAGAGAAGAAGAAAUAUUACUGUUUUUCAAAAACAGACCUAAAUGGAUUGACUCUACCCCCUCUUUUAUGUUGUGGCCAUGGAUUCCAUAUUAUGGUUCUGGUAAAAUCCUCUGGAUGUGAUGGAUCACAAAGAGGGCUCCAGAAUCCAUGGAUUGUCAGUCAUCUUGAUAAAUCAACAGUCUACUCAAUCUAAUCCUCCUACAAGCUGUUCCAUUUCUUAUAUUCUGAAUGUCUAGUACUACUGUUACUAUCUAGUACCUAGCAUAGUGUGCAGCACUUAGAAAACACUGAAAACAUAUUUAUUGAAUGGAUUGUUGAAGACUUCAUCUAAUCUCCAGAUAUGAAAACUUUGGAGGAAGGAAAGAUUCCCUCUUCUCUCAAGUCAUGUUCGUAGUGAUUAUCUGCAUAGCAUCUAGUGUAAGGAGGAUGGACCACUAGGAAGAAGCUUCGUUUUGCUGAAUGAGAUGGUGUGUGGUGGCAUGAGUUGUAGAAGCGACUGAAGGCUGUAUUCUGUACAGAAGGCACAGAGAGACCCAGGAUACAUGGAUGAAAGAGAUUGGCCCUUUCUCUGGUUGACCAUGCCUCUCCUCUGUUUCACUCAUACUGGGUGUGGCCAUUUGUUCUUCAAGAGCCACUCUGCAUAAUGAUGUCUCAGAGCUCUAAACAGGUUUAUAUAAAUUCAGAGCAAAGACCAUGUUCUUCUCACGUUUCCUAUCACUGCAUUUCUAGCAGGCAGCAUAACACCUGGCGCACAACAGCCGAAAGUCUAUGAUUAAGAGGUGCCGGUUCUGUCUCUCACUACUUGGAGAAACUGAAGCGAGGCAGGGAGAGACCAUCCCGGAACAGGCUGACCACAGGCAGGAAACAUGCCUACAAGGUAUCCAUCACAGCUGACAGAAGAAUGGAACAAUCUGAAGCCUGGAGCCCAUCAUGCCUGCAGCCCAACAUCCCUGGACCCCCUCCUUACUGCCCAUUUUCCCUAGAUAACUGCCCUAAGAUUCUGUAACUUUGGAAGAAGGGUUUUUGAGACAUUAGUCACCCAUCUUCUGAUUAGCCAGCUAAUCUAAUUAAACUUCCUUUCUCCAUCUCUAACUUGUGAUUGAUUGGCUCAGAUUGUGGCGAACAGAGCAAGCCCAUUGCUUGGUGUCAUCCCUUCACCCCCACUUCCUCUGCCCUCCACAGAGAUUAGCA